AGAGGUGAGGGCAUCUGGCUACAGCAUCUGUCACCCCAGUGGUCAUUGGGGUUGAUUCAGCUGAUCUGGCUGGCUAUAAGGGUGUCCCCUUCCUCCCUCACCACUCCAUCCGUGUCCCUCCCAAAGCUACAUACUUGGUUGAAGAGAAUUACCUUCCCCAAAUAGAGGAAGACCUGUCUUCAUUCAAGGGUAUGCAAGUAGAUGCGCUCCCCUGAUAGUACCUCCAAACAAACUGUAAAUCUCAUUGUUGAAAUUUCCAAAUGUGAUUCUGAAUAUCAUAUAAGAGAAUGAGUAGAUAAAAAUGGUCAGGAAACAUUU
This 318-nucleotide small nuclear RNA is filed under the name Jaculus jaculus (lesser Egyptian jerboa). RNAcentral's name for it is "7SK RNA (ENSJJAG00000009332.1)". The stretch from base 1 to 281 matches the Rfam family "7SK RNA". Rfam says of the family: 7SK was discovered as an abundant small nuclear RNA in the mid-70s but a possible function has only recently been suggested. Two independent studies have found that 7SK RNA binds the CDK9/cyclin T complex (known as elongation factor P-TEFb). The record is from RNAcentral. Lineage: Eukaryota; Metazoa; Chordata; Mammalia; Rodentia; Dipodidae.